This is a long non-coding RNA of Triticum aestivum (bread wheat), 1307 nucleotides long. RefSeq lists it as uncharacterized. The transcript is spliced from 3 exons. The record is from RefSeq and is a predicted model, not a curated record. NCBI's taxonomy places the organism in Eukaryota, Viridiplantae, Streptophyta, Magnoliopsida, Poales, Poaceae.
UUUCCUACGUAGCGUGCGUUACAGACGGCUGACUAGAUACCGUUGUACAUGCCCUCAGAAAAAAUCCCCAUUCUCUCUCUCUUGCGUUAGCCCCCCUCUCUCCGCUGCGACUCCUCGCCGCCACAGCCACAUACGCCGGCCACCUCGCCCCGCUCCGGCGACUCCUGGCACCGCCGGACACGCUCCCGAGCUUGCCUUCCCCCGCUACGUCCUCCCCUCCGACUGGAUUCGACGCUCGUGCCCACUAGCAGCCCUCCCCCGCGGCUAGGGUUUCGGGCGCAGCGGCGCCUCUCACUCCGGCGAGUUCAACCCAUCCUCCUUCCUCUUCCUAUCUCUCCCUCCCCGUGUCUAAUCUCUGGUGGAGUCUUCUCUUGUAGAUGUGCCGAGAAGAGGGAGAUGAACCAAGUCCUAGAUCCAUCACACUCCAUGCCAUGGACCCUUGACGAAAGAAGGUCGAGGAAGGCCACUGCGUCUGUGCUCGGCCACGAGAAGAUGACAUGGAGCUCGUCUUCCCGCUCAUCUGCUUGUCAAGGUCGCAUCUAUCUUAUCUGCUCCCCACUCUGAAAACUGAACCCCUUUCUUCUCUGUACAUUUGAUAGGUUGCAAUUUUGUCAUUCAACUGGAUAGAUGGAUGUAUUCGUUUUGUCUUGCACUAUAUUCUUGCUCAAUUGUUGUUAGUGCUCAAGUUGUACUAGUAGCUGUGGCACAAGUACAAGAAGGGUUUCCGAUUUCUCACUUGCGCAAAGAAUAAGUUCAGUCAAUCUAAUAUGUGAUUAGGCAACCAGGUUUACUUUACUCAAGUUCAGUUUUUGUCGUGCUGCUGCACCAAGAUUUCCCCUUGACUAAUUUCUGUUGUAUCCUUGAUUGAUGCUGCACCAAGAUUUCCCCUUGACAAAUUUCUGUUGUAUCCUUGAUUGAAGCUGCACCGAGUUUUCUCACAUCUGCCCGAAGGUGUCCACCAACUUACAUAGGGUUCUGGUGGCGAUGCCGACGGUCGUCGAGAGGUUCGUGGACUGGACGGUGUCGUGGCUGCCGAUGUACGGAGAGGCGAAGCUGCUACCCGUCAUCUACCUCUGGCACCCCAGCACACGGGGUGCGGGGCACGUGUACGAUGGCUUCCUCCAUCCGCUGGUGGCGUGGCACGAGGCCGACAUCGACCGGGGCCUGCUUGAACUGAGGGCUAGGGCGAGGGACGUGAUGGCGUCACAACUCAACACUAGUAGAAAACAGGGCUUAGGUCACAGGACAGUUUUCACAUUAGUCCCGGUUCAGUCACGAACCGGGACUAAUGUGAGCAUUGGUCCCAG